UACGUAGGGGCCGAGCGUUGUCCGGAGUUAUUGGGCGUAAAGCGCGCGCAGGCGGCUUGUUGCGUCCGACGUGAAAGCCCCCGGCUUAACCGGGGAGGGUCGUCGGGUACGGACAGGCUUGAGGGCGGGAGAGGGUGGUGGAAUUCCCGGUGUAGUGGUGAAAUGCGUAGAGAUCGGGAGGAACACCUGUGGCGAAGGCGGCCACCUGGGCCGACCCUGACGCUGAGGCGCGAAGGCGUGGGGAGCGAACGGG
This 253-nucleotide ribosomal RNA is filed under the name uncultured prokaryote. RNAcentral describes it as "partial 16S ribosomal RNA". It matches the Rfam family "Bacterial small subunit ribosomal RNA", at positions 524 to 776 of the family's 1533-position model. The record is from RNAcentral.